RNAcentral lists this ribosomal RNA (197 nucleotides) under uncultured bacterium. Its description in RNAcentral is "partial 16S ribosomal RNA". It matches the Rfam family "Bacterial small subunit ribosomal RNA", at positions 1303 to 1500 of the family's 1533-position model. The record is from RNAcentral.
GUCUGCAACUCGACCACACGAAGCUGGAAUCGCUAGUAAUCGCGAAUCAGCAUGUCGCGGUGAAUACGUUCCCGGGUCUUGUACACACCGCCCGUCACACCAUGGGAGCCGGUAAUACCCGAAGUCAGUAGUCCAACCUCGUGAGGACGCUGCCGAAGGUAGGAUUGGCGACUGGGGUGAAGUCGUAACAAGGUACC